This 301-nucleotide ribosomal RNA is filed under the name uncultured bacterium. Its description in RNAcentral is "partial 16S ribosomal RNA". It matches the Rfam family "Bacterial small subunit ribosomal RNA", at positions 509 to 807 of the family's 1533-position model. The record is from RNAcentral.
CAGCAGCCGCGGGAAUACGGAGGAUCCGAGCGUUAUCCGGAAUUAUUGGGUUUAAAGGGUGCGUAGGCGGAUAGAUAAGUCAGUGGUGAAAGACGGUGGCUCAACCAUCGCAGUGCCGUUGAUACUGUUUAUCUUGAAUAUGGAUGAGGUAGGCGGAAUGUGGCAAGUAGCGGUGAAAUGCAUAGAUAUGCCACAGAACACCGAUUGCGAAGGCAGCUUACCAAGGCAAAAUUGACGCUGAGGCACGAAAGCGUGGGGAUCGAACAGGAUUAGAUACCCGUGUAGUCCCUGUCUCUUAUAC